CAGGGAAUAGUUUAGGUAGAACUUCAGCUUUGGGUGCUGAUGGCGGAGCAAUCGCUUCUUCCUUGA
Molecule: transfer RNA, 66 nt
Filed under: Tragelaphus angasii (nyala)
Lineage: Eukaryota; Metazoa; Chordata; Mammalia; Artiodactyla; Bovidae
Description: tRNA-Pro
Rfam family: tRNA
About the family: Transfer RNA (tRNA) molecules are approximately 80 nucleotides in length.
Source: RNAcentral